UAAAAGUAGAUAAAAGUAAGUUAAUUCUAUAAUAUUUAAUAUAAAAGCUUCCUAGAAACUUCCUAGACGUUGCUUUGACUUCAUAGGUGUCUUUAAUUGACUUUUUGGAUUAGAAACGUGGUCAACAAGUUGGCCAUGUGCCACACAUGUUGUUAGCUUGAAAAUCAAGCUAACUAUGUGGCCCACACGUAGAAAAACUUGCCUUGUAAGUCAAGGCAUGUGUCCUACAAAGUCAACACAUAUUGGAGGUCCUAUAGAACGUCGCCACGUAGCCCCUAGUUAGAUAGUAUAUAUAGAGACAAGAGUGAAGGCUUCUUCACUCUUGUCAACUCCUUUCUUGCUUCUAGUCUAGGUUCAAGAGUCUUUAGUUUCUUGUCUUGUGGCAAUAGCCAUUCCAGUUUCCUUUUAAUAUAUCUACUUGUUUAUAUUUUGACUUGUUAUAUCGAGAUAGCCUUUUGGUGUAUAUUUUUCCUCAUCGAGUCUUUGUCCUUGACACUAAGAUGGCAAGAAGUCCAAGCUCUCCCUUUCCUUUGACUUUUUAUAAUAAGACAAUUAAGAAAUUACCUACUACAAUAAUUAACAAUAUUUUUUUAUUAGAUUUUUUUCUUUGCAAGACAAUCACACUACGUUAAAGAAAAAUUCACUUAUUUAUAUCUCCAAUCAACUUUGCACGUAUAAAAGAAUUCCAAUGUGGACUUCUUCUUAUCCGAUUCAAAUUAAUUGGUAUUUUUUGAGUUAGGAUAGGAAAGGCUUCUAAGGCUCUAUUGAUUAUAAAGAAAAUAAAAUCUAUAAGAAGGAUUAGAAGGUUAUCUCUUCUCGCAUCUUUGUACUUGAUUCUACCUUCAAAUUUCUAGCUCCUACUCUUUAUAUUCAAGUAAUUUUUUAAAAUUCCAAGGAAAGAAAUAAUUGAUAAGGUUCAAGGACAUACUUAUUUUUAAUCUAUCAAUGCUACUUCUUCUCAAGCUCUUUCUCUUCAAUCCACAACCUAUGUUAGAAAAAUUAAUUAAAGCUUGAAUGACAUUGUGAAGAAGAUAUUUACCUUGAAUAAUGAAUCUUCUUGUUUCUCCUUUCUUAUUUUCUAUAUUCUUUUUUUUUUCCAAGAUUCUUCUAACUACCUUUUUUAUCUCAUUCUUCUUCUUAAAAUUCUUCUUCUUAUCUUAUUGAUGAAAAAAUUCUCCUAAGAUCUUGUUGACUCUUCGUAGACUACUUCUGUGAAUAGAAGGAAUAUGAAGGAUAGAAGGGGUGAUUAAAUCUCCCUACCACUAGAGAAAGACGCUCCAUUGGAUUUUUAUAAAGAUGAAAAGAAAUGGUAUGAAAGGUGGAGGAGGUGAUUAAAUCCUCCUACUAUUAGAGAAAUACCUUCAAUAAAAAAAAUUAUAAGAAGAGAGAGUAUUGAAAUAUUGAAGACAAGCUCCACCUCUUAUACUUUUAGAACUCACAAGCAACUUAAAAAAACCACCAAGUAAUGCUAACACUUACAAUAAACUAAUUAAAUAUCAAUUAAGAUUAGAAACAAUAAUAUUACAUAAAAAAUCAAUCAAUAAAAAAAUAAAAAAUAAAAAUAUUAAAUUUAUUUCAAUACAUAAAACUUAUUAUGUAUGUAAAAGAAAAAAUAAUAUUAAGAAAUAAAAGUAAGAAUGAGAAUCAAAUGAAAAAAAUUACAAAUAAAAUAAAAAAUAAAGUAAAAAUAUAAGUAAAAAUAAAAGUAAAAAUAAAAGUUAAAAGUAAAUUAAAACUAUUAAUUAAGUUUAUUUUUUAUUAAUUAAUUAAAUAAUUAUCUUGAAAUAAUAAUAAUAUUAUUAUUUAUAUAUAUUUUUAAUUUAUUAUUAUUAUUAAUUUAAUAUUAAUUCUCUUUUUUUUUGUUUUUGUUUUGUUUUGUUUUGUUUUGUUUAGUUAUUCAUUUAUUUAUUUAUUUAUAUUGAUAUAUAUAUUUUAUCUUAUUUUUUUAUUAUAAUUUGAUAUAGUUAAAAAGAAGAUUUUUAACAAAUUUUUUAAAAAUAUAAUUUAAAAUCCAAAAUUUAAAUGAUAGAAGAGAUAGAAAUCACUAUCUUCAAUUGUAUUCCGCUCAUGGCAGCAACCUCUCUCCACUCCAAAAAUCGCCAAAAAUUCAAUUUUGAUUCAAUACCAUUGAAGAUUUUACCAUUAUAAACUCAACUUCAAGAUUUUUGUUUUCAAAAAUUUCCACAAUAAUAUAAUUAUCAGAUACUAAGAAAUGCCUUUCCAAACAAGGCAUACAUGAAACUACCUAGGUUGUGAACCUCUUCCUAAUCUAAAAUUCACUAAAAACUCAAAUCAACUCUAAUUUGAACAUAUGAUAGCUUUUUAAAAAGCUAACAUCAAAACACAUAAUAAUAAGAAGUUUCAACUCAAAAGAUACAACACAUAAAAACUGAUUGAUAAAAACCCGAGAGUGAUCCACAUUCAAUUCAACAUUGAAAUCCUUGACUAUCUUAUAAAGUGAAAAUUUGAAAUUCUUUGUUUUCACUCAUAAAGAAGAGAUAUAGAACACUUAUCAAGCCUCAUGAAGUUUUAGCCUCAUGAAGGCUCACAAGUACUGUAUAUUGGUUCCUAAGAGAGGCCACAAGGCCUUAGUCUUAUCUUCUUAACUACGUUCAAGGUGCUACAACCCAUAUGGGACUUCUACACCUCCCUUCGUAUACGGACUAUACUAACUGCUGGUCUUCCUAUUUUCUAGUAGUAAAAUCUAUAAUUUUAUAUUUUUAACUUUAUCAUGAUGUUUAUAAAUAUCCAAUUAGCCUAGAAACCUUUUUGGUCUUCAAAUCUUGCUCCAUUUCUUUAUAAUGGCUCCUCAAGUGAUAAAACUCAUUUUUACCAAAGUCAUGGAAAUUGCUAUACAAAUUUCUAAAAUAUUUUAAAUAAAUUUUAAGUAAAUUUUAAAAAUUAUUAUAAUGGUUUUAUGAUACUAAUAUGAAUUUAAAGAUAUAAUUUCCUAUCUUAAUGAUUUUUAUAAUAAUAGAAUCAAUUUAAAUCUACUAUAAAUCCUACUUUCUAUAUAACUAACUAAAAAGAUAUGAGGUUCUUUUUCAUGCUUCUUCUAACCACUAACUAACAUUUAUAGUUUUUCUUAUAAAUAAUAUAUAUAGAUAGAAGGCCAAUAUAAAUAUUGAUCUUAGUAAAUAUUUUUCAAUACUUAAUAAUAAAUAAAAAAUAUUAAAUCAACUAAGAUAAUUACCUCCAAGACUUACUAAGAUUUCAAUUUUACAACUAACUCUUUAAUUUUUUAUUUGUCUAAAGAUUUUUAUACCAUUCACUAUAUAUUAUAGUUCUAAGUACUCUAAAUGCAUCUUUUUAUCUUAAAAUAACUAGUGAGAUAAUUUGAUAACUCACAAUAUCUUAUAGGUUGUACAAAUUAGUCAUUUUUUUUAUUCUAAUACUUGUUGAAGUAAGUCACUUAGUAAAAGGCAUUACCUUAGAUAAGUUGCCAAUAGUCAAAAGGCAACAAAAGAAUAUAAAGAAGUUACUAUGGUGGCUUGUAGGAUUUGUAGGUGGAGGCUAAAUUAAGAAAGAACCUAGGGUUUAGUUGGAUGAAGUAGAAAUAGAUGUAACAUUAAUAGAAGUUACCUCGUUAGUUGGCAACCACCACCUAUAAGUAAGAAGUGUUGGAAGUAUAAGUUAUCUUACUCCAUACUCCCUUUUGUGUGCAACCUUGUUGAUGCUGAGUGUUGUGACAACUUUGUUCUUUAAUAGCUUAUGGACCCACUCACCUUUAGUUGUGAGUUUUGAACUUCUUUGAAGUCUUUGUUGGUGUUAAGAGUAGAUCUUAUGGUUGUUGCUGAUGUUAGGGUUUGGUAUCUUCUAAAUCUCCUUUUGUAUCUAGUUAUUGAUGUAAUUAUUGUCUUAUUUGUUAUAAAGUGCAUUCAUAAUCUUGGAGGUUGUUAGAUACCUUAGAUUGAUGUUUAAAGACAUUUGUGUUAUGUUUCCUUGCUGAGUUUCAUCAUUGGUGCUCUAAUUUUGUGCUUUUAUGUAUUGAUCUCCUUGAGAGAUCCACUUAUUGUAAUUAGAGAUGCUUUGGGAGGUUAGAAGAGUUUUGUGAAAGAAGAGAGGUGAUUAAAGAGAGGCAAAGCUUAUUUAAGAGGUUAUCAGACUUGUGAAAAGUCUUAUAAGUAAAGUUGAGAGUGAUUGAAGAGUGUAAACAAUAGUUUACUCAUAAAAAAGGCAUUCUGGUUUUCUAAGGCAAUAACAUCUUCUUGUUGAUUUUGAAAGUUCAUUCUUCUCUUUUCUUCAUUUUCUUUGAUACAUCCCUUUUUUAGACAUGGUUGCAAGUGAAGGUGAGGAUUUGAGAGUAAUUCAGAAGUUUAGGGGUGACAACUUUUACCAUUGGAAGAAGAAAAUGGAGAUCUUGUUGGCUUCAUUAGACCUUUGGGAUAUUGUUGAUGAAAGUGAAGACCCUCUAAGUGACAAUUCUGAUGUAAAGGUGAAAAAAGAGUACAAGUGAUGUGAAAGAAAGGCUUUUGGCAUGAUUGCAAUAAAUCUUGAUGAUGCCAAUUUUUCACAUGUAAUUGCUUGUACUGGACUAGCGGAAGCAUAGAAGACUCUUUGCAACAUCUAUGAGAGUAGAAACCUUGCCAACAUUCUAUGGACAAGAAAGAAGUUCUUAAUAGUAAAGAUAGAAGAAGGACAUGACCUCAUGGCUCAUAUCAAUAAGGUAAAAGUACUUGCAAAUCAACUAGCAAUUAUUGACACACUAGUUGAUAAUAGAGAAAUUAUGUUGACAUUACUCAUGAGCCUUCUUGAGUCCUACAACUACCUCAUUGUAGCAUUGGAGUCUAUCAACAUGAAAGAGCUUACUAUGAACUAUGUCACGUCAAGACUUGCCUAUGAAGUAAUCAAGAAAAAAGAAAAAGAGCAUUAAAGUGAGGAUUUGGCUCUAUUUUCAAGACAAGGCAAAUGUAGCUACUCUCACCAACGUGAUAGUUUAAAGAGUAACAUGAGAAAUUACUAUAUUUGUAGAAAAUCAGGUCACAUUGCUAGAAAUUGCUACAAAGCCAAGAAAGGAGAUAGAGAGAAUGCAAAUAAUGCUUGUGAUAACAUUCGUGAAGAUGACUAUGCUUUCAUGGCAAGUGAAAGAGCAUCUAUGGCUACGAUGUCUAAGUGGAUUAUAGAUUCAAGUGCUACUAAACAUAUGAUAUCAUAUAAGUAUUUAUUUGACACUUAUGAAGAAAUUCAAACAACCAAAGUUUGGUUGGGAGACAAUGGCAUGGUACAAGCCAUUGGAAUUAGCUCAAUUAUCGUGGAGAUCGUUAUGAAGGUCCAAAUCAAGAGGAUCAAAUUGAAGGAAGUCUUAUAUGUGACAAAAAUAAAAAAAAAACCUCCUUUUGGUGAGCAAAUUUAUAUUACAUGGUUAUAAGGUUCAAUUUGACAUGAAUGGAUGUUUUGUGAAGACAAUGGAUAGACAACAUGUUGUGAAAGGUCUUAGAGAUGGAAAUCUCUACUUCAUCAAUUGUAAAAAGGUGAAUGUAGUUAAAGUGGCUGCAUUUACUGAUUUUUCAUAAGAUCAAGACAAGUUUGGAAUCUGGAAUUAAUGACUUGGUCAUUUGAAUGCAAAAUGCAUGAAGGAGCUUCAAUCCAUGGUAAGUGGCUUGGAUCUUGGUCAUUUCAACCACAAUGACAUGACACUUACUUAUGAAGGUUGUAUACAAGACAAACAACAAAAGAGUUCAUUUCCAAAUGGAGUUGCAAGACGUAUAAUCAAAUUAUUGGAGAUUAUGCAUUCUAAUGUUUGUGGACCAAUGAAGACACCAUCAAUUGGAAGAGCAAGAUAUUUUGUCACAUUCAUUGAUGAUUUUUUAAGAAAAGUGUGGAUUUACAUCAUUAAAGCUAAAAGUGAGUAUUUUUCAAGGUUUAAGGAGUUUAAAGCUCUUAUAGAGAAAUAAUAUGAAUGCAAGAUCAAAAUAAUAUGCAUAGACAAUGGAGAUGAAUACAUGUCAAAGAAUUUUGAUGAAUUCUUUAAGAUUAAAGGUGUUGCAAAAUAAAUCUCUACUCCUUACACUCCACAACAAAAUAGAGUUGUUGAAAGAACAAAUCAUACCAUUGUGGAGAUGGCAAGGAGUAUGCUUCAUGUACAAUACCUUGGUCAUGAAUAUUAGGCUGAAGCCAUGGUUACUUCAGUGUACAUAAGGAAUAGGUGCCUCAUAAGUAAACUGACAUCAAGGACUCCACAAGAAGCUUGGAGUGGCAAGAAACCUUGUGUUUCACACAUGAGGAUCUUUUAAUGCAUUGCUUAUGCAAAGGUAAUAGAUUACAUGAGAUCAAAAUUUGAUGCAAAGAAUAAAAAACGUAUAUUUAUUAGAUAUUGUAAAGAUACAAAGGUAUAUAGGAUAAUAUGUUUAGAAACCAAGAAGAUCAUAAAAAAUCAUAAUGUUGAGUUUUUGGAGUAUAAAAGUGCUCUUGAGUGCUUGAAAAUAUGUCUAAGUGGGAAUAAUGGUGUGUUUGUAGACACAUCAUCAAUUUCAAUAAAGAAAGAAGAAGAAGAAGAAGAUGAUGGUAAUAAUGAAGAUGGAAGAAAUACAAAUCAAGAUGAAGUAUCAAAGAAUAUAAACCAUAGUGUGCCUUCAAUUAUUAGAACUAGCAAUAAAUAUAAUGAAGAUAUUGAUGGUAAUGAUGAUGAUGAGGAUUAUCAAGCUUUAAGUGAAAAAAGACAAACUUUAAGGAAGAAAAAGCUUAAAAGAGAGUAUAAAGUGUAAGAAGAUGAAGCAUCUCCAAAUGAAAGAAGAUAUCCUUUGAAAGAAAGAAAAACCACAUGGUGAAUGGUGGAAGGAUUACAUAUUUCUUCAAAUAAGUGAAGAACAUGCCAAUUUUGCUCUUCUUACUAAUUCAUUAAGUUUGUGUAAUGCAAUGAACUCCACGGAUGCUAUGAAAUAGGAGAAUGCUAUGGAAGAAGAAUAAAAAUCAUUCAUAGACAAUGGAACAUGGGAAUUGACUCAACUUCCACCAAAUCGAUCUUCAAUUGGUUGUAAGUGGGUAUUUAGAACCAAAAGGGAUGCAAUGGAUAAUAUUGUAAGAUAAAAGGCUAGAUUGAUUGCCAAAGACUACUCACAAGUUGCUGGUGUUGAUUUUAAUGAGACAUUUGUUUCUAUGGCCAAAUUCACCAACAUUAGAACCAUUGUGGCAAUUGGGGCAACAAUGGACUUGGAGAUGCAUCAAAUGGAUGUGAAGAUGGCAUUCUUGAAUGGAAGCUUGAAAGAAGACAUCUACAUAGAUGAACUUCAAGGAUUUGUAUAAGAAGGCAAUCAACAUCUUUUUUGUAAAUUGAAGAAAUCUUUGUAUGGACUAAAGCAAUCUCCAAGAGCAUGGUACCAAUGCAUUGAUACUUUCUUUGUGACUAAAGGAUUUGUAAGGAGUGAGGUUGAUCAUUCUUUGUUUGUAAUGCAAUCAAAUGAGUUCAUAUUGAUUGUCAUCUUAUAUGUUGAUGAUCAAAUUAUCUUAACCAAUACUAUGAAGAUGAUGGAUUAGUUGAAGGCAAAGUUAGAAAGAGAGUAUGAGAUGAGUGAUUUGGAAGACCUUCACUAUUGCUUAGGAGUGGAGUUUCUAAGAGAUCGUGCUAAGAAGACCAUUAUAAUGAGCCAAAGCAAGUACAUUGAAGAGGUGUUGAAAUGAUUUAAUAUGGAGGAGUGUAAGCCUAUUGGAAUACCUUUGAAAGCCAAUUUGAAGUUGAUGAAGCUCAUGGUGUCAUGUUGCAACACGACUAUAUGAUGAAAAUAUAAAUGAAAAAGAUUUAUUAAUAUUUAGUCAUCUUGGAUGUUAGAAGUAGUGACUAAUUUCAAUGCCAAUAUUCAGGGGCCAAUUAAUGUCACCCCAUUAUAAGCUGUACCAUCAAACAUGACAAUAGUGUAUGCUCUACCAGCGUCAUUGAAUCAAGUAUCCUCUAUACCAACAAGACGAUUAGGAUCAUUUUUAACCCUACAUGGAACAAGUCUAAUAGAUAUAUACCAGUGGAGAAACCCAAUAUGCUUGAUGGGAGUACAAGAAGACUACUUCGUUGUUUUCGUUGUAGACAGAUUGGUCAUUAUACUAGUGAAUGUUCCAAUCCCAGAGCCAAUGACAAUUACGCGCUAGUGUAUGGGAAUAGCAAGCAGUCGGGGCAUAUUUAUUAGCAAUGUAAUGCUUUGUUUAAUUUCAAUAAUUGAGAUCAACAGAUUCAAAGCCACCAAAAAAUUAAGGAGAUAAAUUGAGGUCUUGAAGAUUCUCCGAUAAAUCGGGUGAAAUAAGUCUAAGCCGUUCUUAUCAAGAGUUGAUAAAAGGAAAAAAAAACCAAUUCAAUAUUCAGGUGAAUCUGAUGUAAAGGGCCAAUUUGAUCCAAUUGUGGGGACAUCCAAUCUAGGUCUUGGUAUAGGCUUCUUAUCCAGUAUGAGAAUUGACUCGGUUAGGCAACCCAAUGAUGUCCCGAAUAUAGAGGCUUCAGUUCGAUUUUAAGCUAUUUCGUUGUCUAUGCUGUUUCGGGAAAACAUCCUUUCCAUAGAAAGAUCCUCUUAGAGGUAGAAAUUCCAUGGAGGCGGGUCUGUUGUUCCAAUUUGGAGUCCAAGGUAGAAGAAUAGGGGACGUCACGGAGUUGAAAGAAAGGAGAGGAAAAGAAAGGAGGCAUUCAGAGAUCGAGAUUUUGGGAUUGGAGAGCUAGCUUCAAGCUCCUUCGAAAGGUGUAGAAUUAGGUUUUAUAGGAUUUGAGAGGACUUUGCAAUCGUUGCUCAAAGUUAGAGUUUGUAUUGGUGAAUUGGGUUUUGCAAUAAAAGAAAGGCAAGUACUCUUGACUGUUUUGUGAAAUUAGAGAUAUAUUUGUGGUUGAAAUUUUAGAAGUGUCUAGAUGGUUGAAUAUACUAAGUUCAUGCAAAAAUUUGUGUUAAUCUUAUGAUACGGAUAGAUGAUAUUUGAUCAUUAGUAUAAAGAGGUAUUAGAAGUUGGCAUAUUAGAGUUGUUUAGGAUUUUUGUAAUAUAUGAGAUCUAUCGACUAAAAUAAGAUGAAUUUUAACAUAGUAAGUUGAGGACUCAAAGGUAGAGCUACACACAAAAUUUGAAUGAGAAUUAAUGGUCAGAGAAGGAAAAAUUAUAAGUUAAAGUUCGUCAUCAACCUUCUAGGCGAUGGUCAAAGGACUUCAGUGUGGAUUUACGGUGUUUUCUUGCAAUCUGUAAGUUGGAUUGGAUUGAACUUCUUGAGCAUUUAGAAGACUUGUAAAGACACUAGUGGUAGAAAUCUCACAACAAUCGGAUGGUCACAUUGAGAAUUACAGCUUAUCGAGGCUUACUGUCUAAGAUUAGGAUUUAAAAAAUAAAUAAAAUAAAUAAAUAAAUAAAUAAAAUAGAAAUAAAAAUAACAAAUAAUAAAAGAAUCUAUGCUUAUAAUAUCCAAAAGCUAUUAAAAAUAGUAUUCUAAAUACUUUGUAUUAGAAUUAAGAUUUUAUAUUGAAAUCCAAAAUAGUUUAUAUUUAGAUAGUUGAAAUCCAUUAGACUACUUGGAUACUUGCAAAACAUUGUUUUAUCUUCCACAACCAGACGUCCGGUGCAUUCUCAAGCUAGAUAGCACGUAAUACAAUAAUGGAUGAAGAAUUUACUGAAAUUAAAGGUCAAAUAUAAGGAAUUCCAUACAAGGCAGCACUGGGUUCAAUAAUGUAUGCAAUGGUUGGUACAAAGGUAGAUCUUGGAUAUGUGGUCAGUAUUGUGAGCCAAGAAAUGUCAAAAGUUGGACCAAUCCAUUGGACAACCAUCAAAAGGAUCAUGACAUAGUUAAAAGGUACUUUGAAUUCUAAAUUAUAUCUUGGAGGUGAUAACAUUACUUUGCAUGGUUAUUGUGAUGCGGAUUAGGGUGGAGAUGCAAAUGAUAGAAGAUCAACAAUAGAAUAUGUAUUCCUUGUUGGAGUAAGAGGUAUAUCAUGGAAUUGUAAGAGACAACCAAAAAUAGUAAGGAAAAUAAUAGAGGUGGAGUACAUGGCAGCAAGCCAUAGUGCAAUGGAGGCAAUAUGGCUAAAACAACUUUUGGAGGACAUUGGAGAUGUGCAAAUGGAAGCAACUCCAAUAGAGUGUGACAAUCAAAGAUGUCUUGCAUUUACAAAAAAUUCCAAGUAUCAUUCAAGGACAAAAUACAUUGACAUUCAACAUCACUUCAUGAGAGAGAAGAUUGAAAUGGGAGUUAUUGAUAUGAAGUAUUGUGCAACGAAAGACAUGCUUGCUGAUUUGUUGACAAACGCAUUAGUAAAGGAUAAACAUCACAUGUUGACAAAGGCUUUAGGAUUGAAAGCCCUUUGAUCAAUAGCAAAGUGGGAGUGUUAAAGUAACUCACUUAGUAAAAGAUAUUACCUUAAGUAAGUUGCUAGUGGUCAAAAGAUAGAAAAAGAGUAUAAAGAAGUUACUAUGGUGGCUUGUAGGAUUUGUAGGUGGCUGCUAGGUUAAGAAAGAGUGUAGGAUUUAAUUAAAUAAAGUAGAAAUGGAUGUUACACUAAUAGAAGUUGUCUUGUUAGUUGGCAACUACCACCUAUAAAUAAGAAGUGUUGGAAGUAAGAGUUAUCUUACUCCAUAUUUUCUUAUGUGUGCAACCUUGUUGAUACUAAGUAUUGUGACUUCAAAGUGCUUAUUCUUCAAUAAUACUAGCUCAUAUAAAUAGUUUUUUUUGUGGACCAAUGUCAUAUUAUAUGUUGUCUUAUUUGAAAAUGCACUAAGUACUUGGUUAUAUAAGAUGAAGUUAUAUUCUAUAAGUAUCCAAAAAAACUAAUAGAUUUCAUCCAUAUAUAAAGAAUGCAAUUUGAAUUUUAAUUCAAAAGUACUUAAAGCCAAUAAAAAGUGUUAAAAAAUACUCUUUUUAAUAACCUUAAGCAUAUAUAAAUUCUAAUUUCUUUAUUCUAUUUUAUAAUUAGAUAAUUUUGAUUUUUCUUUGUAAGUCCUUAUCCUAGUUAAUGAGCUAUAUUUAGUUAUAAUUCCUAGUAUGAUUAUCUACUUAAUGUCAAUUUUUUUGAAUAAAUAUUAUUAUAAGUCUUUUAUAUGCUUAAAAAAAAUUCAAUCCAAUCAAAUUUACAAAUUGUGAAAAAAUGUCCAAACAAUGCAUUGAUGUUACUUAGCUGCCAACUUAAAAGUUGAUGCAAAUGUUCUAAUGGAAAUUUUUUCUUUUUCAAUUAUUAACCUCAGCUCAAAAUUAGUAUGUAGCUUGAUCAUCCAAUCUUCUAAUACCGUGCCAAAUUUCAUCUUCUUUUAAGUAGUAGAUCUUUAGAUAUCAUAGAAAUUCUAUCUAAUGUCAAACUACCAACUUCCAACACCCUAUUGUAUCAAAAAUUAAAUAUCUCUCAAUUACAUUGUUAAAUUAAUACAAAAAUUUAUGUAAAAUUAUCACACUCAAUCAACCAAGUACUCUCAAAUUUUGAACUAUAGAUGUAACACCAACUGUAAAAAUUAGCUGAGAGUGUUAAUUCUAAUUGUAUUGCAUAAAUUCAAAGUCACCAAUAUAAACCUUGACUUUGAAAAAAAAUUGCAAUGACAUUCCAAAUCCUAUAAAAACAAGCUUUAUAUUUCUAAAAGAGGCUUAAAGCUAGCUCUCCAAUUUUAAUUAUUAAUCUUCUAAUAUUCCUAUGCUUUGCCUUAAGUGGCUAUUUUAGUGGCUAGAGGUCUAAAUUUGAUAUUGUUCUUCAAAUGGUUGAUCCUUGGGUACCAAUUUAAUAUAUUUUAGGAAUUUCUUAGCCAAAUCCUACCAUCAAUUUUAUCUUAUUCUCAACCAUAUUAAUUAUUUAUCUCUUCUAUCCUAUGUUUAUUAAUUUAUGGCCUUUUUAAGACAAUAAAAGAAUUUUUAUAGCUUCGAAAGUAAACUACUAACCAAUCUUUAAUCUACUAAAUAUUAAGACAAGAAAAUAAAUUGAGAUGUUUUUGUAAAAGCUAUGUUUAAAUUUUUUGAAUUGUUAUUAAAUAAAGAUGAUUAGAUAUUAAUUAAAAAUUUAUUUUUGAUUAUAUAUUCAACAUAUAGUUGUAUUAUAAUAUGACAUUAGAUUUGAAUCUUGACCACUUUUUAUAUAAUUACUUUUUUAGGUAACUUUCCAAUAAUCUAAAAAUAUUUAUUUAUUUUAAUUUAUCUUUGAAUUAUAUAAUAUAUAUAUUUUUUUUAUAGAAUUUUUUAGCUCUUAAUAAAUAAAAGAAAUAAUAUUAUAAAAUUUAUCAUUUAAUAUUUUUACAUAAGUGAAUUCAUCUUAUCUCUUAAUAAGUAAAAGAAAUAAGAUGGUUCAAUAUUUCUAUCUUUUUAUUAGAAAUAAUUUACCAUUUAAUAUUUCUAAUUAUAAGAAAUUAUUAUCAAAUAUUUCUUUAAUAUGAUAAGGUCUUAACCAAAGAGUAUCAAUUUUUUUAGGAAAAUCCAUUCUCUUAGAAUUUUGUAACAAUAUUAGCAUCUUUAAUUUUAUGACUCUCUUCUUGUAUUUUUUAUCAAAAGAAAUUUUCUUCCUUCUUUGAAUAGCUUUUAUAUAUUGAACUCUAAUUCUACAAAUUUUAUUAAGAUCCCUCAAUUAUUCUAAUCUAUCUCUUAAUAAUUCUUGGAUAGUUAAUUUGACAUCUAUUGCUAUCUUUUAGAGAAUUGAUUUUAAAUUCUAUUUGUAGUAUAGCUUCUAUUCCAUACAAUAAAAAAAUAGAGUGACUUUGGUUGUGACCUUGUAGAUUGUACAAUAAGCUUACAAAGCUACUAGUAAUUUAGUAUAUCAAUAUUUCUUUGAGACUUGUACUAUUUUUCUGUGGAUAUUUAUUAAGGUUUGGUUCAUUCUUUUCGCAUGACCAUUAGUUUGUGGAUGAUAAGGAGUUGUCAUAUAAUGAUUUCAUAUUAAAUUUAUUAGUCAUCUCUUUUAUUAUACUAUUCAAGAAGUGUGUGCCUUGAUCACUAAUCAAGAUUUUGAGACAACCAAAUUGAAUAAUGAUUUUCUUAUAUAUAUAAUUAGCUACAUGGAUAGCAUCAUUAGUUUUGUCAAUUCUUACCUCAGUCCAUUUUAUUAGAUAUUCUAUAGCUAUUAUAAUAUGUUUCAUCUUUCAUGAUGAAUUCAAAUGAUUUUUUCUUAAAUAAUCAAUUCUUUAUUUUUCAAAGAGAACUAAAGGCAAGAAUAUGUAAAGCAGUAGUGCCAUAUGUAAAUUAUUUAUUAUGUAACAUUGGCAGCAUCACAUCUUUUAGCAUAAACAUAUACAUCUUAGAAUAUGGUAGAUUAGUAAUACUUGACUCUCAUUGCUUUUUGAGCCGUCAAUCUACUCAAGAAGUAUUCUUUCGUAUUAUAAUUUUAUUUUGCCGUGUUAGGCUUUUCACUAGCAAAUGCAAUAGAAUAAUCUUUAUGUCUACCUUUUGUUGAUUGACAUAAUGUACUAUCUAUUACUACAAAUGAAGCAUCACAAUAAAUAUGGAAGAGAAGAUUCUAAUUAGAUGGUUUUAUUCAAAGUAAGAGCUUAAAGUUGCUUUUAUCCAAUCAAAGGCUUCUUAAAAAUUUUGUAUCCUCUCAAACUUAAUUAACUUCCUUUUGAGAUUGGUAAUGGAUGAAGUUUUUGUGAUAGUUGAAAAUUAAUUCUUGAUACCAUCUAAGAUGUUUUAAGAUCAUAUCUACUCCUUUAACAUUUGUAGGAGGUUGUAUUUUAGCUAUGGCCUUUAUUUUUUUGGAUCAGGUUUUCUUUCGUCUUUAGACACCAUAUAAUCCAAUAAGAUUCUUUUUUGUACUGUCAAGAAUAUUUUGUUGAGAUUUAAAUUAAUUCCUAUUUUUUUGUAUUUUUUUAAGGUUUUUUCUACAUAUUUUAGAUAGUCUUUGGCAUUGGAUAGGAUACUAAAAUCACCUAUAAAUACCAUCAUAGAUUCCUAUAAUAAAUCCAAAAAAGAAAAGGUCAUGAUUCUUUAGAAGGCAAAAAGGGCAUUAUAAAGCCCAAUAGGCAUGAUCAAAAAAUUGAAUGUACACUAAGAAGUAGUAAAAGUUGUUUUAUAGCAAUCUUUUAGGGACUAUAGAAAUUUAAUUAUAAUCCAAAUAUCCAUCCAUAAACAUGUAGGUUUUGUUAUCUGUUACUUCAUCUAAAACACUAUUAAUAAAAGGAAAGAAAAAAUGAUCCUUUUAAGUGUGCUUGUUGAAUUUUCUAUAAUCUAUGCACAUUCUUAAUUUACCAUUCUUCUUCUUUUUUACAAAGACCAUAGAAGAGAUCCAAUCUAUUAUUUCUGCUAGUUUAAUAAAAUAAGCUUAUAAUAGUUUUUCCAACUCAUUUUUAAUAAUUAAUUGGACUUGAGAAUUCAUAUGUCUUUCUUUUUAUCUAAUUGCCUUGAUAUCAGAAAUAAAGAGAAUAUGAUAUUGAGCCACUUCAAGUGGUAUAUCUUUCAAAUCUUUAUAGGACCAUACUAAAACAUUUGGAUAUUUUAUGAUUAAAUCACAAUAUAUAGAUACCUCCUAAUUUAAAUGAAUUCUAAUUUUAAUAUUUUUGGGCUAUUUUUAUUCAUAAAAUAUAUCUAUAAGUCUCCAUUUGGAUUUUUAUAUUGGAGAUUAUUUUAAAGAGUUUUUAUACCAAUUACUAAAUAUAAGAGGAUAGUUGAAAAUUCCAUUGCCAACCAAAAUUUUCAAUGAAGUUUUUUAAAAUCUAAGAAGUAGAACUAAGUCAUCAUCUCUUAUAAGGACCCCAAUUUCUUCUUUUAAUGUUCCAUCUAUGUUAUUGCUAAGGAUAUGAAUUUCCUCAAUUUUUGUAAUUUUUAACAUAUCUUCUAAAAAAUUAACUAAUUCCAAAUAAUUAGAAUUAGAGUUGAGAUGAUUGUUUGGCCAUUAUUUAAAUUCUUUAUCAUCCAUCUAAUGAAUAAGGUGAGAACAAAUAUUUUAUUUUCUUUAAAAUUAGGUUAUUUGAAUUGACCACUUUUAUUAAUUUUUUUGUGAUUUAGAUAAUUAAUUAUCUUCUUAAGAAUCAAUAAAAUUAAUUUUUUUAUGAUCAAAUACAGGUUGUAUGGAGAUUUUGUUCUAUUUUUCUAUAGACUAAAGAUAAUGUAGGAUUUUUUGCUUCUUUAGUUGAUUAAGACUUUUGAAUCUUUUAACUAUGGCCUAUCAAGUAAUGAAAAAAAAGAAUCCUUUGAUAUAUACAUUCAAAUGACAUGAUAUGUCUAGAAAUGUUUUUCUCCAUCAAUUCAAGUCUUACAAUUUUUUAUUUGGUCUAUUGAAAUAGAUGGGAUUUGAUUUAUUAUUUUGAUAACAAAUGAAGAUAUGCUAGUGACAAUCAAUCUUAUUUUUUCUAUGAUUUGAAAGGACAUAAUGUUCAAUCUACUUCCACCAUCUACUAUAAUAUAGGAUAUUAUUUUGUCCACAAUAGAAACCUCAAUUUUUAUUACUUUCACCAGUCAAGGACAAGAACUUGAUGAAAAAAUAAUUCAGACAAGUGAGCCUUCACUCAAAGAGAGGUAACAAAAUAUAUAUAAACAAGUAUAUAUAUUAAAAGAAAAACUGGAAUGGUUAUUGCCAAAAGACAAGAAAACUAGAGACCCUUGAAAGUAGACUAGAAGCAAGAAAGGAGUUGACAAGAGUGAAGAAGCCUUCACUCUUGUCUCUAUAUAUACUAUCUAACUAGGGGCUAUGUGGCGACGUUCUAUAGGACCUCCAAUAUGUGUUGACUUUGUAGGACACAUGCCUUGACUUACAAGGCUAGUUUUUCUACAUGUGGGCCACAUAGUUAGCUUGACCUUCAAGCUAACAACAUAUGUCGCACAUGGCCAACUUGUUGACCACGUUUCUAAUCCAAAAAAUCAAUUAAAGACACCUAUGAAGUCAAAGCAGCCUCUAGGAAGCUUCUAAGAAGCUUCUAAGAAGCUUUCAUAUUAAAUAUUAUAGAAUUAACUUACUUUUACCUACUUUUAUUUACUUCUACCUUUUUGUAUAUGUAAUUAUUAGCUUACAUGAUUAUGGCCAUGACAUUACUCCCCCUUCUAGAGACAAGUUCCACUAAGAGUGGUCAUCAUAUGUUGAGGAAAUCUAUGAUGCGACGAAUUGUAUUCGCCACAUACUUUGAUCUCUGUUCUCUUCGAAGAUGAUUGAUAGGGCCUCUCAAUCAUCGGUAGUGUCCCAUACCAGGGCAGGAAGACUACCCAAUUAUUUGAUCAUUGUUGAGGCCUUCGUAUCUUCCUUCAAAUAGAAUAUUUGGAACACCAUCAGGAGUUGUUCCUACCUCUAGCAAAAUCACCAAACAUCGGGAGUCCCUUCCCAAAUUGUGAUAUCAAAUGCAUUAUAUCUCACCAUCUAUUCGAAGAAGAGCAUGUCGUUCUUGAAGAUCUUCAUCUCGAUUGCGUCGACUUGAAGGUUGUGACAAUCGUAAUGUCUCGUCCGGCAGGUCAGCAAAUGAAGGCUCUUGAGUUGAAUCCGCUAGUUGUUGGUUCUCCAUCUCUUGAGCGCCACUACUACAAUGAAGCUACGAACAAGAAUUGAAAGUAGAAUGUUAUCUUGCCUAGAUGUUGUUUCUUUUAUAAAAAAGGUUUUCAUCUUGAUUUUGAUGGAUGUCGUCGAUGUAAAGCCUCCACCACCUUUGCUGCAUUUGCAAGAUUCUUUAUUGGCUCUCAUGUACGUUCACUAAUACCAUAUUCGUGCCAAUGGACAAGAUAUUCUAAUUUAUUUUGGUGUCGCGUUGAAUCUAAGACUUCUAAUACUUCAAACUCUUUAUUAUUGUCCACUUUUAUAGGAGGAGGUGGAGCUUGUUGUCUUCUUGGUAUGUCCACUGUCUUGUAUGGUUCAAGAAGAGACACGUGGAAUACUCGAUGGAUUUUCAUUGACUCCGGUAGAUAUAAACGAUAUGCAACUGGAUUGAUUUGUGCAGAAAUAGAAAAUGGUCCCAGCCUUCGAUAGUCCAACUUGUCACAAGGACGAGUGGUCUUGAUAUUGUGACAAAGUAGCCAUACCUUAUCACCCAAGAUGAAUGAUGGUUGUUCCUUUCGAUAGACAUCCGCAUUGGCCUUUUGUUGUUCUUUAGCUUCUUUUAACUACGCCUUCAUCGUUGCAUGUAGCUCUGAUAAAUGAAUUGCCAAAUCUUUCGCAGCAGGAUUAUCAACUUUUGAAAAGUCAAAAGUAUUAAGUCGUGGAUGAUAACCAUAAUUAGCAAAAAAAGGUGUUUGUUUUGUAGAAGAGUGUACCGUGUUAUUGUAAGCAAACUCUCCCAAUGGCAAAAGAGUUGUCCAAUCAUUUUGUUGGUAGUUAAUGGUACAUCUUAAAUAUUACUCUAAAACUUGAUUAACACGCUCCGUUUGUCCAUCAGUUUGAGGAUGGAAUGCCGAAGAUAGUUUUAUAUCCACUUUAAGAAUCUUGAAAAGAGUCCGCCAAAAUCUUGAUACAAAUUGAGUUUUCCUAUCUGAUAUAAUAUCCUUGGGUAAUCCAUGAUAUCGAUAGAUAUUGUCAAGAAAGAGCUUAGCUGUUUCUUCACCUGUGAUAGAUUUUGUACAUGGUACAAAAUGUACCAUCUUGGUAAAACGAUCUACUAUCACGAAUAUAGAGUCAUAAGAACCUGAGAUUGAAAGAUCCAUGAUGAACUCUAUAGAAAUAGAAGACCAUGGUUGUUCUGGAAUGGGUAAUGGCUGAAGAAGUCCAAAAGGUCGAUGACGAGGAGUUUUCGAUCUUCAACAAACUUCACAUGAUUGUACAAAAUCUUUAACUGCCUUCCACAUUUGAAGCCACCAAAAAUCCCUAGAUAUCAGCUCCAAAGUCUUAUUAUAUCUAAAAUGUCCUGCUACUGGGAAGUUGUAACGAGCUUGAACAACACAUAAAGGAGCUUCUCGUUCUAGAACAUAUAGGCGUCCUUCAAAAUAGAGUAGGUUGUUCUUGUAUUCAAAUUUAGAUGGAUCAUGAGAUUUAGAAGAAUUGUUCUUGAUAUCAUGAACAAGAGGGUCUGAAGACAUACUUAAUUGGACUUGCUUAAAGAAAGUUAAAUCAAUAGUCAAUGUUGAUUUUAUUGCUCGAAGAUGAAAUUAUUCCGGCUUCAAGAGAACCGUUCUUUAUUGCUCAAAAGCUGCAACUCCUUCUUUUGGUGCAAGAUAAGAACGUCUAGACAAGGUAUCGGACAAACCUUGGUAUUUUUCUGGCCGAUAAGUGAUGAUGAACUCGAAUCUUGAUAAAGACAUGCUCCAAUGAGCUUGGCAACGAUUUAAUACGUGUGCUGACAUAAAAUAUUCGAGGUUCUUGUGAUCCGUAUACACGGUGAGUGGACUAGAAGCGCCUUCUAGAUAAUAACGCCAUUCUUGAAAAGAAUCCACAAUUGCAAGAAGUUCUUUGUCGUGGAUCUCAUAAUUGAUUUUUGCUGCUGAGAAUUUUCUUGAAUGAAAGGCUACUGCAUGAAGUUUGUCAUCUGUUUCCAUUUGUGAUAAAAUCGCACCCAGAGCAAAGUGUGAUGCAUCUGUUUCCAUAAAGAAUGCUUUGGAAAAAUCAACACGAUACAAGAUUGGUGCAAAAAUAAACGCUGUCUUCAAAGAUUCAAAAGCAACUUCUGCUUCUUGAUUCCAUUGGAGUUUGUCUUUAUAAGUCAAAUGUGUAAGUGGAGCUGCAACUUGAGAGAAGUCUUUAAUGAAGAUCCGAAAGUAGUUGGCAAAUCUCAAAAAACAUUGGACAUCUCUUACCGUUUUUAGGAUCUUCCAGUCUAUAAUAGUUUGAACUUUCUUAGGAUCCAUCACAAGUCCAUCAUUUGAAAUGAUGUAACCUAAGAAAUCGACUUGAGUAGUGUGGAAUACACACUUUUCUAUCUUGGCAUAGAGUCCUGCAUCUCUUAAUUUUUGUAACACAUGACGAACAUGAAGUUCAUGUUCUUUUGGAUUCUUAGAAUAGAUCAAGAUGUCGUCUAGAUAACAUACCACAAAAUCGUCCUAAAACUCUCAAAAAACAUCAUUCAUUAAAUGUUGAAAAGCUGCUGGUGCAUUUGUAAGUCCAAAAGGUAUGAUGUUGUAUUCAAAAUAUCCAUACCUAGUUCGAAACACAGUCUUCCAUUCAUCUCAUUCUUUGAUGUGUACUAGAUUGUAUGCUCCUCGAAGAUCUAUUUUUGUAUAGAUCUUAGCUUGAUUCAGCUGAUCAAGAAGUCCAGAUAUUAAAGGUAGUGAAUACCUGUUUUUGAUGGUAAUCUUGUUGAGUCCUUGAUAAUCAACACACAUCCGCAAUGAUCCAUCUUUUUUCUUCACAAAUAGAAUUGGAGCUCCUAUCGGAGAUUUAGAAUGGCAUAUGAAAUUCUUGGCUAGAUUUUCUUCAAUAUACUCCUUGAGUUCAACCAACUCAUUUUGUGAUAAACUAUAGAUUGGUCCGAAUGGUGGUUGUUCUCCUUCUUGAAGGUCAAUUGAGUAAUCAUAGGGACGAUGUUCCGGGAGUGUAUCCACAUUUUUUUUUUCGAAUACAUCUUGAAAUUCUUGAUAUUGGCUUGGAAUGCCACUUGAAGUCUUUUCACCAGUAAAAACGGGUGUAGCAUAAAUAAUGUAUGGUGAUUCUUUCAUAGCAGCAUGCAAGAAAGCUUUUGCACCUAUAUAUAGAGGUUUAAUUGAACUGGACUUAUGACUCUCUACUUGUUUAACUACACUGUUAGUUAUACUUUCAAAGAAAAUGAGAGUUCGGGAAAUCUAGUCUAUUUGAGGGUUGUAUUUUCUAACCACGAUAAACCUAAAAUGACUGGAUUAGAGGGAGAUCUAAUGAUAUUAAAUACUACAAAACUAUUAUGACCAUUGAUUAUUACUUCUAUAGGAAGGGUUUCAUGAGUAAUAUCUCCAGAAGACAAUGGACGACCAUCUAUGACUUCUACAUGAACAGGUUUAGUUUUCUUUACUAAAGAUAUGCUAUGUCUUUUAGUAAAUUCUUCAUCUAAAAAAUACGAUGAGGCUCUUGAAUCUAAUAAGGGAGAGACUUUGUAAUAUUUAGGUCCUAAAAUAACAUUUAAUGUAAAACAAGGAGAGAGCUCUGAGGAGAGAAUAAGACCUUUACUAGAAGUUGUGCAAGGUUCCAGGUGCACGGUCUUUAUUGUAGCUAGACAGACUCGUUUUCUGACAUAUUAUCUUCUUUCACAGCCAUACUCCUCAUUUUGUGAUUGCGUCGUUUCUUUGGACAAUGUUGAGUAGUGUGGUUUGGUUCUCCACAAUAUAAACAUAAUCCUUCUUGACGACAACAAGUCUUUUCUUGCUCAGUAAGAGAUUUGAAACGUACUGCAUCAAUUUGCAUAUCCUCUACUUCCAAAUGUAUGUGUUGAAGAGAUGUUGGUGUUGCCAUUGAAUUAUAGUAACGUUGAGGUCCACUUGUACGGUUCUCAGAUCAAAAUUCAAAAAGGCGAUUGUCGCACUUCACAGCAAAGUCAAUUGCUUGACUCAAUGUUUGAGGAUCAGGUAAGUUGAGCAUUAAUUUUUUUACCUCAUAUUAUAAUCCAUAGAGAAAUUGGCUAAUAAGUGCAGCAUCAUCCUACAUGAUAUCAGUUGCAAGUUGUUGAAAUUGUGAAGCAUAUAACGUUACUGAUCAAUUACCUUGUCGUAAAAUAUGGAUCUUAUUGGUUGCAACACGAAUUGCAUCAUGUUCUCCAUACAUGGAUCAAAAUUCCACCAAAAAAGCCUCUAGAUUAUCCAAUAUUGGAUCUCGUCAUUCAAGAAAAGAUGAAAACCACGAUAGUGUCGAACCUGAAAGAAGCAUACCAAUGAAUCUAACUUGUGAUCUUGGAGUUGGAUAGCUUUGGGGUUGAAGUUCAAUCACAAGUUGCACUUGAUUAAUAAAUCCUCGAAACUUGGAUUUGGUGCCAUCAAACUUCUCGGGUAGGGCAAUUCUUGAUUCUCUAACAUUUGAAGGGCGUUCCACCAUAGGAAAAAGGACAUGGUUUGGUGCAUAUGUUGAAGUAGCUCCAACCAUUUCUAUAUCUUCACUUCCUGCCAAUCUUGUUGCUCCUUGUGGUGGUAAAUUGAGUUGAUGCAUUGCAAGCAUUAACUCCCUCAAUUGCUCUUGCAUUUGUGCCAUUGCACUCUUUAUUUCAAGAAGUUCUGCCAUGAUAACACUUAGAAUAGAGAAGAUGUCUAAUAUCGCUCAAGACAAAUAGAAGAGAGGACUUGCGGACAAAGAAAAUACUAAGGACAAUAUCAGUUUAGAAGAGGGUAAUCUGCAACUUCUAAUGUGCUUAUAUCUUAUCAAGAAAAAAGGGUAAUCCACUUUUAAUCAAGAUUAGGCAAAGCUCUGAUAUUGUAGGUGUACUCUUGUCAAUCUGUCAAGGACAAGAACUCGAUGAAAAAAUAAUUCAGACAAGUGAGGCUUCACUUAAAGAGAAGUAACAAAAUAUAUAUAAAUAAGUAUAUAUAUUGAAAGAGAAACUGGAAUGGCUAUUGCCAAAAGACAAGAAAACUAGAGACCCUUGAAACUAGACUAGAAGCAAGAAAUGAGUUGACAAGAGUGAAGAAGCCUUCACUCUUGUCUCUAUAUAUACUAUCUAAUUAGGGGCUACGUGGCGACGUUCUAUAGGACCUCCAAUAUAUGUUGACUUUGUAGGACACAUGCCUUGACUUACAAGGCAAGUUUUUCUACGUGUGGGCCACAUAGUUAGCUUGAUCUUCAAGCUAACAUGUAUGGUACAUGGCCAACUUGUUGACCACGUUUCUAAUCCAAAAAGUCAAUUAAAGACACCUAUGAAGUCAAAGCAGCCUCUACGAAGCUUCUAUGAAGCUUCUAUAUUAAGUAUUAUAGAAUUAAUUUACUUUUACCUACUUUUACUUACUUCUACCUAUUUGUAUAUGUAAUUAUUAGCUUACAUGAUUAUGGCCGUGACAUCACCUCACUUCAUAUAAUAAAAGCAACUAUUUUUUUUGCCAUUCUAAACUUAAGCCUUCUUUGAUUUUUCAUAGAAAUGUAAUUUUAAAUGCCUUCUUAACUAUUAGAAUAUUUUUCAAUAAUUAAACAAAGGUGAUAUUAAUCUUUAACUUACUAAGAUCAUCUCAUAAAUUAUAUUCUUGUGUAGGAUUCUUCCACAUUCUUGUGUUAUUAGAGAACUUCAAAUGUAGAAAUUUUGGGAUCCUCCUAACUAUGAUUGUUUAGAUUAAUAUUUGGCUUGUGUUUAAUUUUAAGAUUUUGAAAGAAUAGUUCUUCUAUGAAAGGACCAAAUUUCACAGAUUCAAAUGUAUUAUUUUAUGUUAACUUAAUUAUGUCCUUCUUGACUUGUUCUAGAUUUAAAAAACAAGGUAGAUUCUUUGAGACAAUACUCUUUUUUUUUGAUGAAUAGAUAAAGAUGCAGCUCUAAAUCUAAAUAUUACUAUUAAAGCUUGUAUCACAUGUAGGUUAUUUUUCCUUUAUUGAUUUUUUUUAAAGGUUUUUGAAUUCAAUUCAUGGAAAAAGGCUUGAUUGGCAUUAGGCUAGGGGAGAUUUGAAUAUAUUUCAACUCUUUUAUGGAUUGAGAUACAAAUUUCAUAUUAUGAAAUCUUUAGCCAUAUUUUGGUAGAUUAGAAGGAUUUUAAUCUUAAGGUUGAUAUUGAUAAAGAUUUAAUAGAAUAAAUCUAAAAUUAAUUUGAAGUCCAUUAGGUACAUUCAGGAUAUGUCUAUUAUUUUUAUAGUCAUAAUAUAAGUUUAGAGGCCCCAAUUUAUUGUUUGUUGGAGGUUGUCUUACUCCAUAAUUAUCAAAUGAUUGUUGAAUAUAACUACCAGGUAGAGGUUGUAAGAAAACCAUUCUAUUUGGUUUUCUAUAAAACUCCAUAAGAUGGUUACAACAACAAUUUCUAUACUCCACUUGCUCUUCAAUCCAAUAUUGAUCAAGUCAAUAUUUUUUUUGUAAAAUGUGUAGAAGUCUAUUUAUUAUUUAGCUUAACUUCUAAGAUAUUUGUUCUUAGAAUUAAAUCCUUAUUGCCUCAAAUUACAUCCUUGGUAGGAUUGAUUUUUGUAUGGAAAGACAUGGUUAGAAAUAUUAGUUUUGUAGAAGUAUGAGAUAGUAAAAUUAGACAAAAUAUCCUAACUAUCUACAUUGAAUAUAUUAUAAUCUUAUUAUAUGUCUUUUUGACUCAAUAGAAGUAGGAGAGGAUUGAAAUUGGAAUUUCUAGCUAAUCCAAUUAAUUUUUUUAUCAUCAACUUCAUUUGAUGAAAGCCUUGGAUUUAAAAUUUUAACUGAAAUACUUUCAUCUAUUUUUUUAAAUCCUCUUUUUACCUAUUAUUUUCAAUAGGAUAUGUCAAGGCUAAUGAUAAAGUUUGAGGCCUAAUAUUUAAAGAUAAAAAAUAAGCUCCUAUAGUUGUAGAAAUCAAUGGCAAUUGUUCAUGCAUCUAAGAGCUUGAUGCAACAAGAAUCUUAGCAUAUAUAGAUAGAUAUGAAGCUAAAGAUAUUAUGUUCUUCUUUAUGCCACAAUCUUUCAUGCUCUUUAUUUAUUUAUUCUACUUCUUUUACCACAUGUUUGGUUGCUAUAUGGUCUUUAAGGCAUGUAUGGAGGAUUUCUUUCAUAAUUUGUUUAAGUAAAUUUUUGAUUAAAAAAAUACUUUAAAGUAUCAUUCAUGAAUGUGAGCAAAAUUAAUAGCUCCAAUGGUUAGUUAUAAUCAAUUUUUUGAUUUUUAACAUAUUUUUACUAAUAUUAAUGCUAAUAUAAUUAACUUAUAGAUUCAAAUUAGUUUUUUAGUUGAUUAUGAAUUUAUUCAUAUUUUUAGAUUAUUAAUUAAGUAGAUAAUUCUAAUUAUUAGAUUGAGUGAUUUUUUAAAAUUCUAAAAAUAUUAAGUUUAGAUGUCUAUAAUUUCUUUUUUUUGAUCUGAUUUAAAUCCUCAUUUAAUACUAAAAUUAGAAUUUUAGUAGAAUUUUUCUUUUAAGUCUUAAAAAUUAUAUCUUGAAUUAAUCCACAAUCUUAGUUUUCAAUCCUAAGGCUAAUUUCUAAUUUGACUUUGGUUAAAAAAUCCCUUAAGACUAGUUGUUCUAUCUUCCUAUUUAAUUUUAAGAUUUUUUAAGCUUAAAUUUCAUGCCACAAUUUAAAUGGAUUAAAAAUAUAAAGUCUAAUUGUUAAAUUAAUGAUGAUUUCUAGAAGAUGGAGGUGAGCUAAUUGUUGUAGUGGAAUUCCUCUCUUAGUAAUUUUAAUCACUAUUUGGAAUUGAAAAUUGGAGAAAAAGAAAAAAAAUCAUAAGUGUAUUAAUUCAAGGCCAAAUUGUAAUUGGAUCUUGGAUUUGCUAAGGGUUCAUGUUUAAGGAAGUUUAAAUUGAAGAAUAGUGAUCAUGAUGGCUUUGAUGGCAAGAAUCCUUGCUGAUCUCCAAUUAGAUUGAAUAAAAUUAGAAUUAUAGUUGGAUUUUAUAACUAAAUUAGCAAAUUAAUUAAUUUUUAUGAUUUAGAACUUGGAUUUGGACUUAUGAAUAGUCAACUUUAGAAUGAAAAUAUGUUUUAAAAAAAAUGGUGGUGUUAGUUUUUCCAAAAAGGUGUUAAUUUUUGAGUUAUAGGAAUUUUCAGCCUUAAAAUCGGAUUUAGGCUUAGAGUGAUUGUAGACCCUUGAUCUUCGUUAGGAAUUUUUUUGAUUUGACUGGUAGAGAUGUGGCUGCCACCUUUGGACCUCCUCCCACUUGGUUAAGAGGGCUUGGAUGGCCGAGCUCCCUUUCUUUUUUCUCCCUUUUGUAAGGCGAAGCUCUGCCAAAUUGUUUUUAGGAUUUUAAUUGAAGGAAUCUUUUCCUACCUUCUCACUAUCUUGGUAUUUUUUUCCUCUCAAUCACUCAAUAAUUUAUGCUUUUGAGUAAUAUUUAAUACUCAUAUUUUUCUAAUUAUUAGCUUUUCUAUGAUGCAAGCUACGAGUAAUUUGAAGCUUGGACGAAUUUUUGGCAAAUUUUCAAGUGGCAGGGGGACUAUUGCCCUUGGCAACGUGGGAGUAUCAACUUUGAAAAUUUGUAACUUGAUGAUCUCUAAUUCAAUUUUAAUAUAAUUUAAUAUUAUGAAUAUAAUUUAAAUUUUAAUUUAUUAAAAAAUUUGAAUUACUAACUUUCAAAUUAUAACAAAUUUUUGAUGAUUUUUAGAGUGAGGAAAAAUCUACUACUUUAGUAGCUUAGAGCAAUUAACUUUGGAAAAACGUAGCUUAAUACAUAGUGAUGUUUUGUCAUUGAAUUGUAUUUUGAAAAAAAACUUGCUAAGUUUUGUUUUAGGAAAAAUUAGAUUAUUUAACCUUAAAUCACUAACCAACUUUUAGUGAAUUUUUAAAUAAAAAAGGUUUGCUGCUAAGGCAGCUCAAAUGACUCUACUUGGAAAAAAUCAUAUUUCAAGCAUUUCGGAUUGGAUUGCCACAAGAUUUAAAAAGAUAGAAGUAUAUUAGAGUUAACUUAGAUCACAUCAUAAUUCACAUACAUUGGAGGCUUAGAAAAUAUUUGGUGAAUUUUUGAGUGGCAAAGGUGGCUAUAACUUGACAUAAUUAAGGUUUGUUAUUGUUUUACUCUCUAAUCAUCUUCUAAUAACAUUCUUUUAGCACCUAAUUUAUUAUAUUAGUUUUUAUUUGUCUUAUUAUUUUUAUUUAAUAUUAUUUAAUAAUUUUUAAGAACUUUUUCCUCAUUCCAAUAAUUAAUGGUAAAGUUUUAUCUUUUCAUCCAUAUUUAUCUUUAAAAGAUAAAAGAAAAAAUUAAUCUUAUCUUUUUAUUUUCAAAUUUUAUUUUUAAUUUUAAUUUAUAAUUUAUAAUUUUUAUCUUCAACUUUUAUUGUGGUUAUUUUAAACUCUUUACUUGACUUUUAGUUAUCAAUUUUAUUUUAUUUUAUUUUAUUUUAUUUUUUAUUCAUAAAUUUCUGAAUUUAAGCUUGAUUAAAUAAACCUUAGAAGGAAAUUAACUUAUUAGACUAUAACAUGUAAGAAAUUAUAAAAAUUAUAUACUUACCUUAUUAUAUUUGAUUGAAUUAAUUGUGAUUAUUAUAUCAUUUAUUUAUUUAUUUAUUUAUUUAAUAUUUUUAUGGUUUAAGUGUUCAUAUUGGUUAAUAUUGAAUUUUAAUCUAAGUUAUAAUAGAAUCAGAUUGAACUUAAGUGAGGGGAGAAAAAAUUGCUCACAAUGAGCAAGCAUCCUACAAACUUUGUCACCACUAAUUCAAAAUGACAAAUAUACAAUAUAAUUUCUUUAUAUUUUUUUAAUUUAAAGAAAGAUAAAAUAAUUAAGACCAUAUUUUGCCUUAUUUUAGGUUAAAAUUUUUCUAGGAAAGCUCAUUGGAUUGUAUCCCAAGUUAAGAAGGUAUAACGAGGAUAGUUGUAAUAUUACUUAUAUGCCUCCAUUUUUUUAACUUGGUUGGAAACCACAUUAAAUAAUAAUAGCUAUUUGUUAUCAAACAUGUAGUGAGUUUUUUUAUAAAAUACUUUAUAUGGACCAAAAGAUCCUCAUUUCUUGUAUCUCUAAAGGUUGAAAGAUUAGAAGACAUAAGGAUAGGAGUGAGUCCCUCUGAAACUCAAAUAGAUAAACUUCUUAAUUGAACUAAGCAAUUAAUUGGUAUAGAUGGUAGUUCUUUACUUUCUACUCUAUUUAGAUCUAUUUUCUUUGGUGGUUGAAAUAAAUGAGCACUUUCUUGAUCCAAAUUACUUGUAUUAUCUAUCAAAAGAUUUAAAAAUAAGCUUCAUGAAUCUUUUGAAGAUCUUUCAAAAAAAAGAUCUUUAAAUUCUUCAAAGAGAUUUCUAAGAAUUGUCAUGUUAUAGUUUGGCUACUAUAUGAAAAUAUUGUGUUUAUAUAUUUGAUAUAUAAUUUAUUAAGUAACAUGAUGAGAGUCAUAUUAGUAGAUUUUAAUUGAUUAUAGAAUAUAAUUAGAUUAUUACUUUAAAAGGAGGUUAUUUAAAAGAACUACUAUUAGUAUUUAAAUAACUUUUUUUUCUUUUGAUAGUAGCUUUUAAGAUUAAUUUUGGUUGAUAAUAAAUUUUACAUAUUUAAAGUCACUUUUGAUAGACAUUGGUGACCAUUAAAGACUUAUUUCGUUUCUUUUAUUUGAUAUUUAAGAUAUAUAUUAUGUAAAACUUAUUAGAAAAAGGAAUGAAAAAAAAUCUUGAUAGCAAAAAAAAAAAGUUAAGACAUCUAUAUGGAUGAAUGGAGAUAGAUGAUAAAAAUCUCCAUUCCUAUUGGCCAAAAAUCAUGCUCAAUAGAUUUUAAAGAGGCUUCUAGAGGCCUUAUUAGAGAUUAGGAAUUAAGAUUACUCAUUUGAAACCAUUUGAACUUUAAAAGCUAGGAUUAGUAAGUUCAAGGUUUUGGCUAUGAUUUUAGUGCAAAUUUUAGAUGAUUUGGAGUUUUUAUAAGAAAGAUAUAGAUACUCAAAGUUAGGAUGUAGGUUUUGUACCUAGUGUCACUCUUUUGGAUAUAACAUGUGCAUUCAAAAAGUAAUGAAGGAUUGGUGAAUGGAGUUGAAGAGAUUUUUUAUUUUUUUAUUUUAUUACACUUUUUGUAUAUUGCUUGAUGAAUUCUAAACUAAGAUAAAGGAGUUAUAGGAAGUUGAAGUUAGUGCUUACAAUCUAAGGGUAGUAAAUAAUCUGAUUUACUAGUGGUUUUAUUUUGAGCUAUGUCAUGAGCAAUUUGAUAAGAUUUUGGCUAAUUUUUUCUUGAAAUAUGUAUAAUUAUAUUAAUAAAAUUUGUACAUAAAUUUUGUAGCAUUUUAAUUUUGGAUUUUUGAGAUAUGAAGAAAAUAGUGCUCAGGUACUUGUAAUUUAGAAUUUAGAACACCUAUUAGGAUUUCUAAGAUGCCAAAAGAUUGGUAGCAAAUUUGUAGUUCAUUUUUUUUGAAGUUAAGCUUAAAGAUAAUAAAAGUACUAUUUAAAAAUUUUAAAAAAAUUGAAAAAUUGAAUUAAGAGGUACAAGAUUUUAAAAUUUGAAGGAAAAAAAAUUGAAAGGAUUUUACUAUAUUUUGAAUAUUUAUGCAAAAUAAAAGGAUUUUUGAAAGCUAAGACUUGUAUAUAAGUUUAAAAUGGAAUAAAUCACUUAUUAGAGCUUAGGCAAGAAGUUAAAACUAAACUCUCUAUAGCUAGAUAUCUCGUGUAUUUUCUAAUUGCAAAUUAUACCAUAGAAUACCAUAUUUAAAUUUAAUCUAAGACUUGAAGUCCAAAUGUUUGGCAAUGAAGUUCUUACAGUUUUAAAGCAUUUUAGAUUUUUCAAAGGUUGUACAAAUAUAAGUUUAUAGAACCUAGUAGAGAGCUGCAUUAAAUUUCUACGUUUACAAUAUUAUUUUUAAAAGUCAAAAACUAAAAUAAUUAAAAUAAGCUAAUUAAAGUAAUUUAUAGAAUUUAAUUUUUUAUUAUCUUCUAUUCAUCAACUUGCAUCCUACUUAAAUAUUUUUUUUGAUAAAAAAGAAAAUAAAAAAAAAUAAUCUUAGAAAAGAAUACUUAUUUGAGUACCAUCUUAAGCAAGGCUUUUUUAUUCUUAGAAUAUUAUAUGGAACUACCUUAUGCAGAAGUAAUCCUAAGCAAUAUCUAAUAUAAAGGCAUUGCUUUGCCAUAAAAGAGCCUAAAUUCUCUACUUUUUCUAUUCUUUAUACUAAUAUAAUUAAGAAAUUAUCUAAUAUUUGAUUAAUAAUAGAAUAUAUUAGAUAAAAGUAUUUUUUACAUACAUCAAUCUAAUUUGAAAGAAAAUUUAUUUGACUGCAUUGCCAACCACCAUGUUACUUCUUUAUAAAUCACUACAAAAAUAUUCUAAAUAUUUUUUUAAUUGAUUGUAAAGUAGAUUUAAAGAAUAGAAUCAUAUUUGAAGGUUCUAACUUACUUUAUUACAUUUGAGUCUUAGAAGAGAAGAUGAAUAAUUAUCUCUCUUAUUUUUUUAUUUUUUUUCCUAGGUUCUAUCCUCCAACUCUUUACUCUUUAUUCUAAGUGUAUGCACUAAAAUUUUAAUAAUUUAAAUUAUUCAAAAAUCAAAGGAUUUAUUUGAUUUUAUGCCUUUUAAGUAACAAGUAUUUCCAAGUAACUCAUUGUUUUUCAAUCCACAAUCUGUGUUAAUUAAAUAAUAUAAAUAAAAGCUUUAAUAAUUAUUUUAAGAAAACUUACAUUAAAGUGUAGUCUUUCAAAUUUAUAUUUGUAUUUCUUCUUCUUUUUUUUUUACUUAUAUUUCUUCUUUUUUUUUCUUCUUUUCUUUCCAAUAUUUUUUUUAAAUUGUUAAUGAAGUAAUUUUUGAAUUGUUAUUGAAGAAUUUGUUUCCAUACUACACCUAUGAAUAGGAAGGAUGUAAUAGGUGGAGAGGGUCAUUAAAUUCCUAUACCAUUAGAAAUUGCGACCAACCGGAAAUCGGCCCCANNNNNNNNNNNNNNNNNNNNNNNNNNNNNNNNNNNNNNNNNNNNNNNNNNNNNNNNNNNNNNNNNNNNNNNNNNNNNNNNNNNNNNNNNNNNNNNNNNNNAAUUAGAUGAAAAGAAGAGAUAUAAAGAGUAUAGAGGGUGAUUAAAUCCUUUCAAGUAUUAGAGAUGGAUCCUCAAUAAGAAUCACAAGGGAGAGAAGUGAUGACUAGAUUGAAAGAAGAGCUCCACCUUUCAUGAAGAUCCUUGUCCAAUCCUAAUUUAAUUCUAAUUCUUAAAAUAAUUCUAAAUUCUUAAUUAAGCUUCUUACUUUUCUACCUUAGAUUCUUCAUCCUUCUUCUUCAAUCUAAAUUCUUAUACAAUAGUACUAAAAUCUUGUACUAGACCAAAAUAAAAAAAGAAUAAAAAAUAAAAUAGAAUAAGAUAUUAAAAUAUUUUUUUUCAAAUAAUUUUAAGACUUAUAGAAUAAAUCUCUCACCAAAUGCAUCAAAAUAUGAGCUAAAAUAAAUCUCUAUCAGUUGAAAGUUUAUUUUAGAUCACAACAAGUAAAUUAAUCUUAGAAGUUUUAUUUCUUAUUUAAAUUCUAAUUAAUUCACUCUUUCUUCUUAAAUAAUUCAAUUAAUCAAGCUUAAGUUCUAUUAUUAAUUCAUAUUUAUAAUAAUAAAUCAUUCAUAAAAUACAUGCUCAAAUAAGUUUCUUUUCUUAAUUUUUAAUUUAUUUAUAUGUAUAUAUAUAUAUAUAUAUAUAUAUAUAUAUAUAUAUAUAUAUAUAAUCUUUUAUAUUUUAUUAUAUUUUAAUUUUUUUAUAUAUGAUAUUUUAUUAUUUUAUUUUAAUUAAAAUUUAUUUAUUAAAAAAUUUAUCUAAUUAUAAAUUAUUAUUUAUAAAUAUUUUUUUAUUUAUAAAUAAUUCUUUUAACCAUUUUUGAAUUCAACCUUCAUUAAAACUUCAUUCUUUAAUUAAUUCUCAACUGAUACAAAAAUUCAUUCAAUCCUAACCUAAGUUCAUUUCUACUAUCAUAGUUUAUUCAAUCAUAAUUUAUCUAUCUAAACUAAUCUUCUUUGAAAUUCUUACGGAGAAGAAGAUGAUACAGCUUGUGAUCUGUUCCAUGUUGCAAUACCCCCAUAGUAUUACAACAAUAAAUUCUUGUUUUUUAUUUAUUUCAAUUACUAAGUUUUACUUGUUUGCAAAGAGAGUUUGAUUUUUCCAAUGUUAUUGAUUUCUACUAGAGCUUCUUGCACUCUAUUCUUAACUUUCAACAAGUCAAAUGUAGUAUUAUUGUUAAAUCCUUGACCUACUCAUCUUUUGUUGCUUGAAGGCUGCCUACUUAACAACUUCAAGAUUCCACCCUUCAAGUACUUUUGCAAUUUGAAGUCACUACCAAGAGAGAAAUCAUUGCAAUAAGUGCAGACCUCAGUAAAUCAAAUCAUAGUUUAUAGUCAUAUGCCUUCAAUUACAAGAAUCUAAAUUCUACUUGAAAUUUAAUAGGCAUUGAAAAAUGCCUUUUUAUAAAAACAUUGUAUUUACUUGGGCUUAUUUGUCAAAGACAUACAUAUUUACUUGGGCUUAUUUGUCAAAGACAUACAUAUUUACUUUGAUAUUUAUUUAUAUGAUUAAAUAGAAGUAGAUAAAAGUAGAUUUAUUUCAUAAUAAUUUCUAUAAAAGCUUUCUAAAAUCUUUAUAGAUGCUACUUUGACUUUACUUGUGUUUAUAAUUGAUUGAUAGAUUAGAAACUUAAUCAAGAAGUUAAUCACAUAUUGAUAGCCUACAAAAUAAGCUAAUUUUAUAGCGCAUAUAUAAAAAACUUAUCUUACAAGUUAAAACAUGUAUCUAACAAAGUUAAUACAUGUUAGAGUUUCUAUAAAAUAUUGCUGUAGAGCUCCUAGUUAAGAUUAUAUAUAGAGGCAAGAAUGAAGCCUUCACUCUUAUCAAUGCUUUUUUAGUGCUUGGUCUUAUUAUAAGACUUUUUAGUCUUUUUUUCAUUGAGAAUAGCCAUUCUAAUUUAAUAAUAUAUUAUUUUUGAAUAAUUUUUUAGUCUUUUCGAGAAACACAAGAGUAUAUUGAUAUUUUACUUCUUUGAGUUUCAUGUCCUUGAUAGUUUGAUAAGAGUGAAGACUUAUUAUUCUUAUCUUAUUUUAGAAGUGAGUGGAUUAUCUCAUUUUUAUUAUUAUAUUUUAAAAAUAGCACAUUAUUUACUUUUAAACAAAUUAUCUAAUUUUCUAUCAUUGAUUUUUUUCUUAAAGAGAGCGGAUUAUCUUUCCUUUAUAGAAAUUUUCAUUAGACAUUAGAGGUUGGAGAUUACUCUCUUCUAAUUUGAUUUAUAGAUUUGUGAGGUUAUUUGAAAUGGAAGAAAAAAUUAUGUAUGCUAUACUUUAUAGAGAUAAGAAUAGAUUUACAACUAUUACAAACCUUUACAAACUUAAGAUUUAGGGUGGAAAUUUCAUGCAUCACCAACACCAACUAAAGAAAUACUAAUCCUAAGUCUAUGGAAGAAAUUUAAAAUUUGUCUCAAAAAGUUUUGUAGUUGAAGGAAGCAAUUAUAUUAACUUCACAAACAAAUUUAAGAAUUUUUAUUUUUACAAGUAUAAUAAGAAUAAAGAUAUAUAUCUCCAAACAGCUUAAUGGAAUAAGCUAAAAAAUUUGGAGAUUUUUACAACAAAUCAAGCUCUAUCUAAGAUUGCAUUCUUUCUAAUACUCUCAUGGAUUUACUCAAGUUGAAUUCAUAGCUACACUUCUAUCUCGAAGUGCUCUCUCUUGCUUUACAUCUUUGAUAGAAAAAAAUUCAUGACUCUUAUAUGAUUUGAAUUCAUUUCUAAAAGUGUUUACAGACAUAUUUAGAGGAAGUGAUUGAGAAAGAAUAGUAGAGAGCAAUCUCUUAUCUUUAUGAUAAGAAUCACAAUCAGCUACUAUAUAUGUUGUUGAAUUCCAAAACCUUACUUGUAACAUGGAUUAAAAUAAUAAAGCCCUUAUCAAUCAAUUUUGAUAUGGAUUGAAGGAAAAUAUCAAGAAUUUUUUAUUAAAAAUGCCAAAAGUAAAUUUUUUGAAACAAUUUGUUGCUUGUUUAUUACAAUCAAUUAUUUUGAAAGGCAUUAAGAAUAAUAAUUUGGUUGAAGAGAAAUAAGUCAAGUAAUGAUAGCAACUUCUAAGUUUUCAAAAAAUCAUUCAUCAAGGCUAAAAUUGAUACAUAUUUAUAUGAUAUAUUUUAAACAUCUUAUUGAGCAAAAAAAGACUUAUUGUUAAGAAGAUUUAUACCUAUAUUAUAGAGAACCUAAAGACAUUACUCAACAUUAUCUAAAGAAGUAAAAAAAUCACAAAAUAAAAAGUAUGGUUGUCAAAGAAGAUGAUAUUUAAAAAACAAGUUUUUCAAACCAUAAUAGGAACCAUGUAGCUAAGAUCUUAGGCAGCUUCUAAUAAAGGUCCUAUUUUCUCUUCAAAUCCUUCAUCUUAUUUUACAAUAGAAGUUUUUUUAGGACCAAAAAAUCACAAAGUCUUAACAUUAUUCAAUUCAAGAGCCUUAGCUUAUUUUAUAGACAAAGACUUUUUCAAAAAAUAAGAUAUAUCUGUAAUUAAGAAAAUCAAACCUAUGCAUGUAGAAGUAAUAGAUGGUCAUGCAUUGUCUUUUAGGAAUGUUAUACAUAAAAUUAUUUCUAUAGAAGUAGCAAAUAUUAGUUAUAAUAGUUUAAUAAUAUUUAAUAUGAUUAAAUUUCUUCAUAAUUUAAUUAAUUUAGAAUUAUUGUGGUUAAAAAGAUAUAAUCCUCAGAGAGUGGAUUUUUCCAAUUUUUAUUUUUUUCAUAAUUUAGUCCAAGAUUUUGCUGGGCAAAUAAAAAUCCAUAAGACUAAUAUAUCCAAAUUAUUAUUAGUAGAUGCAAAAACUUUCAUGGAUGUUACAAAAGAAUGAUCAAUUUUUAUUAUAUAUGCCAUAUCUAUUGUUGAUAGAAAAUAUUUUUCAAGUGGCAUUCUAAGCCAAUACUAAGAUUAUCAAGAUAUAUUUGAAAUAAAAAUAUAAAUAUUCUUCUAAAAUUUUGUCCUUAUGAUUGUUCCAUCAAUCUCAAGUAGGAACUCAACCACCAUUUGGACUAAUCUAUAGCCUAUCAUAAAAUAAGUUGAUUACAGUCAAAGAAUAUAUUGAUGAAAAUUUGGCUAAAAUUUUUAUUUGCUAAUCUAAAUCUCCAAUUGGAACUUCUAUCUUAUUUGUGAAGAAAAAAGAUGGAUCUCUAUAGAUGUGUGUAGACUAUCAAGGACUCAAUAAGAUCAUUAUCAAGAAUAGAUACCUUUUACUUUUAUUUUUAAGACUUCUUGAUUGAUUGAAUCAAAAAAAGACCUAUAUAAAAAUAAAUCUAUGUAAAGUAUAUAAUUUGGUAUCUAUGAAAAAAAGAAAUGAAUAAAAAAUUACAUUUUGAACCACAUAUGGAUAUUUUAAAUAUAAUGUCAUGUCUUUUGGACUCACAAAUGUGCCAACUGCUUUUCAACAUCUAAUGAAUGAUGUUUUUUGUAAGUUUUUUAACAAUUUAAUCAUUUAUUAUUUAGAAGACAUCUUGAUUUAUAUUAAAAAUAAAAAAAAGUAUAAAUUUUAUAUUUAUCAUAUAUUACAAAAAUUAAGAAAUAUAAGAUUAUAUGCCAAGUUAGAAAAGUAUGUAUUUCAUAUUAUUUAAGUUGACUUCUUAGGAUAUAUUAUUUCAAACAAUGGUCUUAUGAUGGAUCCUAAGAAAGUCCAAACUAUCAUAGAUUGGAAGAUUCCAAACAUAAUCAAAGAUGUGCAAUAUUUUUUAGAAUUUGUUAGUUAUUAUUGGAUCUUUAUCACAAUAUUUUUUCAAGUUGCAAAGUCAUAGUGUAAUUACUUAUAGUAUAUAAAAAUUAGUUAGAACAUAUAAUAUAUUCAUAAGUUUUGAUGUAUGUUAGAAUGGUUAAUAGAUUAAUUUAAAGAGAGUGGAUUUAAGAAACUUAAUUUUGAGUUUUAUCUUUUUUGAUUAUAGCAUGUAAAAAAAUUAUAAGACCUAAAUAUUUAGUAUGAAGCCUUGAGAAGAGAUUAGAGCCUAAAGAUGAAACUCUUAAGUAAUAGGAAGCUUAUUGAGAGGGAUGAAAGCAAGACAUGGCUAGGUGAAGGCAAGGAAUGGGGAUCUUCAUUCCUAUUAGUCAAAGGCCAUACCUAAUGGACUUAAAGGAAGUUGCUCGAGGCCUUAUUAUGAAUUAGGGUUUCUUAUUGGAAGUCAUUUAAGCUUUGGAGGCUAGGAUCAACAACUUUAGGUUUUUGAGUAUGGAUUGGAUGCAAAUUUUGUAUAAUUUAGAGUUUUUAUGAAGGAAUUAUUGGCGCUCAAAGUUAAGGUAUUAAUUUCAUAUCUACUGUCACUCUUUGGAGCAUAACAUAUGUUUACGGAAAGCAAUGAAGGAUCGGCAAUUGGGAUUGAAGAGAGCACUUUUUCAAGUACAAUUUUCAUACAUUAUUUGAUGAAUUUAAAGUUGAGAUGAAGAAGUUAUAGAGAGUUAAUACAACACAUUCAAAUCAAAGGUAGUAAGUAAGUGAUUUUAUUCAUAGUAAUGGUUGGAGCCAUAUCUUGAGUUUAGAACGAAUUUUUGGCUCAAAUCUUUUAGAAAAGGUAGAUUAUUGUAUUAAAAAGCUAUAUAUUUAAAUUUUGUAGAAUUUGAGUGCUUAAUUUAUGAGAUAUGAAGAAAAUUACACGAAAAUGUAUAAAACUAAGGUUUAUGCUAUAUUAGGAUUUAAUAUAUCUUAGAUCCGUGACAAUUUUUAGUUGAAUUUUUUGUGGGUAGUUUUUAAAAAUAUAUUAUUACUUCGUAUAAAUUUUAAUGUGUUUGAUAGUCCAAUUGAAAUUUGAAAUGAUAUCCCAUAAGGAUAUUUAAGGAUUUAGAAGUGCUGGAAAGAUUUUAGAUAUUUUUGGAAACUUAAGAUUUAUGUAUUUAGUAUAAUAGUACCUAAAAGUAUUAUAUAUAUAUAUAUAUAUAAACUUUUUCUUUCUUAUGUCAAGACUUGAUUGAGCAAUUAGUGGCAAUGAAGAGCCUAGUGCUUUCUUAAGGCAAACUCUCUCUAUCUUGAUAGCAGCUCCUCUUAUAUACUUGAUAUAUAAAGACAAACUUGAGUAAAAUAAAGAAGCUUAAGCAUCUUUUUGAAGCCUUGAAAACAUCAUUUUUUUUUUUGUUCCAAUCUUAUGUUGCAUCAAUUUUUUAAAGACAUUCUUUAUAGAAAUAAAUGCAUCAAACUUUACUAUAGAUGUUGUUUUGUUACAAAUGAAAGCAAAUAAGGAAUUAUACUUGAUAGUUUUUUAUUCUAAGAAAUUUUAAGCAAUCAAAAUUAAUUAUGAAAUCUAAAAUAAAAAUCUUUUUAUAAUUAUAGAUUUAUUUUAAGAAUGGCAUUAUUAUGUACAAGGCACUUUUAGUUCAAUUAUUAUAUAUACAAAUUCAUAAGAACCUUGGGUACUUCAUAUCAAAACAUGUUUUGAAUUUUUGCCAAAGUUUUUAGAGCAUGUUUUAUCAAGAUUUGAUUUCAAGAUUAUUUAUUGAUCCAAAAAAUAAUAAAGUUUUUCAAAUACCCUUUCUUGAUGUUUUUAUGUUGCACCAAAAGAAAAAGAUGUAACUUUUAAUUAAUAAAGAAUGAUUUUUUUAUAAUCAAAAUAUUUUAAUUUUUGAACAAAAAUAUAAAUUUUAACAAUUGAUUCAAUCUUUGUCAAAUAAACUUAAUAAAGUAUAUCCUUUGAUCUUUUUGUUGAUAAUAUCAAGAAUAAUUCUUUUAAGUUUCAUGAUACUUCUAAGUUUGAGUUUUAAAAUAAUCUAUUCUAUUUUAAAUAAUGAUUAUAUAUUUCAAAAGGCAAAGUACAAUUACGUAUUCUUUAAGCUUGUCAUGACUUUCUAGUAGUCAAACAUUUUUGUUACAAUAAGACUUUAGAGCUAAUAUCAAGAUAUUUUCAGUAGCUUUAAAUGUGGAAGGUAAUUAAAGACUUUUUAUAAUCAUGUGAUAUUUAUUCAAGAUAAACAAUUCCUUGUCAUCAACCUUAUAGACUUCUUUAACCAUUAUUUAUACUAAAACAACCAUAAACUUUUAUUUCAAUAGAUUUUAUUAUAAAUCUUUUAGUCUUAGAUUUGUAUAAUUAUAUAUUUGUAAUAGUAGAUUUUUUUAUUAAGAUGGCACAUUUUGUACCAUAUACAAAAAAAUUCAUAGGUAAAAAAAUACCUAAGCUUUUGCUUGACAACAUCUAUCACUAUCAUAGAUUAUUUAAUGAUAUUAUAUUAGAUAAAGAAAUUCAAUUUGUAUCAAGAUCCUACAGGUGGAUAUAAAUUUUUUUUUGGCUUUUCAUCCUCAAAUUAAUAGACAAAAAAAAUAGAUGAAUGAAGUUUUAGAGCAGUAUUUGAGGUGUACCAUCAAUUAUUAUUAAGAUGAUUAAAUAAAUUUUUUGUCAUUAGUAAAGUUUACAUACAAUAAUUUGGUAGAUUUUUUAUUUUAAAAAAUACCUUUCUUUAUCAAUUAUGGUUAUCAUCCAUGACUAAAUACUUUUGACUUUUUAAAAGUUGAUAAUCUUGUAACAAUAGAUUUGGCAAAUCAUUUGUGAAAGCUAUAGGCAAUAAUAAAGGCACAAUUAAAGGAAGUUCAAGAAUGGUAAAAGAUCAAUGUGGAUGUCUAUGACUAGGAACAACCACAAUUCACCAUAGGUGAUACGAUAUGAUUGCUUUAUUAUAAUAUCAAGACUACUUGUACUUGUAAUAACUUGGACUAUUAUAGGCUUAGANNNNNNNNNNNNNNNNNNNNNNNNNNNNNNNNNNNNNNNNNNNNNNNNNNNNNNNNNNNNNNNNNNNNNNNNNNNNNNNNNNNNNNNNNNNNNNNNNNNNNNNNNNNNNNNNNNNNNNNNNNNNNNNNNNNNNNNNNNNNNNNNNNNNNNNNNNNNNNNNNNNNNNNNNNNNNNNNNNNNNNNNNNNNNNNNNNNNNNNNNNNNNNNNNNNNNNNNNNNNNNNNNNNNNNNNNNNNNNNNNNNNNNNNNNNNNNNNNNNNNNNNNNNNNNNNNNNNNNNNNNNNNNNNNNNNNNNNNNNNNNNNNNNNNNNNNNNNNNNNNNNNNNNNNNNNNNNNNNNNNNNNNNNNNNNNNNNNNNNNNNNNNNNNNNNNNNNNNNNNNNNNNNNNNNNNNNNNNNNNNNNNNNNNNNNNNNNNNNNNUUGGAAGAUUAGAGAGUGGAAUUUGAAAAAAAAAAUUGAAAAGAUAUUUUUGAGCAUUGGUUUUAUGUCAAUUGAAUAAAUAUUAUGUUUUUGGUAGAUUUUCAAAAAUAUUAAUGUUUUUGAUUGGAUUAGAUUUUAGAAAAUAAAAUUAUAUUUAUAAAAUUGAAGGUUUUUUAAGUUUUAUCUUUGAUAUACAAAUAAAUUUUAGAGAGUGUGUUGAUAUUUUAGUUUUUAGUUAAAUUCUAAAGUCAAUCAAAUAAUUACAACAAAAUAUAUAAAGAUUUUUAUAGGUUGAAGUCUCAAAAAUUGGAAUUUAAAGAUUAAUGAGUAUUUUUAAGAUCUUUUGCAAUCUGUUAGUUAGAUUGAAGUGAAUUUUUAUUUAUAAAAACUACAAUUGAUUUCUAAUAAUUUAGGUAUAUUUUAGAGAAAAUUUAAUAGUUUAAAAAAGAGAUAUUGGUAUAAGAAGUUCAACAUUUAGAUUGGAGUAAGAGACCAACCAACACCUAAGCAGAAUUUAGGUUUGAUCUUUUAUUUGGUAAGUUUGAUCUUCUUCAAAUUUUGUAUGCUUAUUUCAAACUUAGUUGUUAAAAAGUGUGUAAAAUCUUAAGCAAGAUCAAUAGUGUAAUUGAUAGAUAUUGAGGUUAUAAAUUACCCUAUGGUUAGGUUAAUUUACAUAGAAUUUGGAUUUGAGUUUAAGAAUUGGUUAUUGUGAAACAUCAAAAUAAUUCACUAGUUGUUUUAAGAUAAAAAGAUGUAUUUAGAGUACUUAGAACCACAAUAUAUGGUAAAUAGUAUAGAAAUCUUUAGAAAAAUAAAAAAUUAGAGAGUAAGUUGUAGAAUUGGAAUCUUAGUAAAUCUUGGAAGAAAUUAUCUUAGUUGGUUUAGUAUUUUUUACUUAUUAUUGAGUAUUGAGGAAUAUUUAUUAAGGUCAAAAUUUAUAUUGGCCUUCUAUCUAUUUAUAUUACUUAUAAGAAAAAACUAUAAAUAUAAGUUAAUAAUUAGAAGAAGCAUGAAAAAGAACCUCAUAUCUUUUUAGUUAGUUAUAUAAAAAGUAGGAUUUAUAGUAGAUUAAAAUUAAUUUUAUUGCUAUAAAAAUCAUAAAGAUAGGAAAUUAUAGCCUUAAACUGAUAUUAGUAUUAUAGAAUCAUUAUGAUAUUUUUUUAGAAUUUAUUUAGAAUUUAUUUAAAAAAUUUUAGGAAUUUUUAGAGUAAUUUCUAAGAUUUUGGUAAAAAUAAGUUUUACCACUUUGGGAGCCAUUAUGAAGAAAUGGAAGAAGUUUUGAAGGCCUCAAAAUACUCCUAGGCUAUUUCGGUGUUUUUAAAUAUCAUGGUGAAGUCAAAAAUGAAAAAUUAUGGAUUUUACUAGUAGAAAAAAAAGAGGACGAGCAGCUAAUGUAGUCCUUGUAAGAAGAGAGGUGUACUAGUCUCAUAUGGAUUGUAGCACCUUGAAGGUAGUUAGGAAGAUAAGACUAAGGUCUCCUGGCCUCUUUUAGGGACCCGAAUACACUACUUGUGAGCCUUGGUGAGGCUCAAACUCUUGAUCUCUUAAGCAAGUUAUCCUUAAGAUAAAAAUGAUUUGCUUAAUUUUUUAUUUAUUUACUUGUUAUUUUUCAAACAUUCAUAACUUACUCAUGAUAAUACGAAUUUAUAUGUUUUUUAUAUAAUUGAAAAGAUAAAAAAAAUUAAAUUUCUAAAAAUAUAUUUUUUAUUUUUUAUUUUUUACUAGAUAAAAACUUAAUGAACAAAUUGUGACUAGUUUUAUAGUAUAUAAUUACUUGAUUGCACUUGUUCUACUUAUUUUGUAUUUUGCAUCUUUUUUUCUUGUUCUUACUACUUUUACUUCACAUGAUCUAUUAAAAGCAAUUCUUAAUUGAGGCCAUCUUGUAAUUAGGUUGAAGAAUGAAUUUUACACUUAUAUUAGGAUUUAGGAUUUGUUUAGGAUUUGCUUAGGAUUUAGUUAGGAUUUAGUUAGGAUUUGAUUUUGUAUUUAAAUAAAGACAACUAAAAUUUUAACUAUGAUUAAAUUAAGAUUUAAUUAAAAUUUAUUUAAGAUAUAUUUAAAAUUUCUUUAUGCUUCUUUUGUAAUUUGUUUGAGGUACUUUGGAUUUGAUUAAAGAUUGAUUACCAUUGUUAAGAUUUAAUUGAAAUUAUUUAGAAUUCUAUUAGAAUUAAAAUCUUUUUGUUGUAAUGCUCCUUCUACCUUCCACAACCCAGUGCUUGGUGCAUUCUCAAGUAAGGCUUCAUGUAGUAUGACAUUGGAGUCUAUGAACAUCUAUUUUGUAGGCACAUGUCUCUUCUUGAGCCAUGUAGUGUAAAAUUCAUUCUUCAACUCAAAUUAUAAGAUGGCCUCAAUUAAAUAUUUCUUACAAUUGGUGGUAUAAAGUGGAAGUAGCAAGAAUAAUAACAAAAGAAGCACAACACAAAAACAAAUGAAACAAGUGUAAUCAAGUAAUUGUACAUUAUAAAACUAGUCACAAUUUGUUCACUAAGUUUUCAUCUAGUAAAAAAAAAAAAAAAAUACAUUAAGAAAGAUUAUUUUUUUAUCUUUUCAAUGGUAUAAGAAACAUAUAAAUCCGAAUUAUCAUGAAUAAAUUAUGAAGGUUUGAAAAAUAAUAAGUAAAUAAAUAAAAAGUUAAGUAAAUAAUUUUUACCUCAAGGAUAAUUUAUUUAAGAGAUCAAGAGUUCGAACCUCACCAAGGCUCACAAGUAGUGUAUCUGGAUUUUUAAGAAAGGCCACGAGGCCUUAGACUUAUCCUCCUAACAACCUUCAAGGUAUUACAAUCCAUAUGGGAUUUGUGUACCUCUUUUCUUAUAAGGACUAUAUUAACUGCUGGUCUUGCUAUUUUCUACUAGUAAAACCAAUAAUUUUAUAUUUUUGAAUUCACUUUGGUAUUUAAAAACAUCUAAUUAGCUCAAGAAUCUUAUGUGGCCUUCAAAAUCUUGCUCCAUUUCUUCAUAAUCGCUCUCAAAAUAGUAAAAUUUAUUUUUUUUUCCAAAGACUUAGAAAUUGCUCUAAAAAUUACUAAAAAAAUUCUAAAUAAAUUCUAAAUAAAUUCUUAUAAUGGUCCUAUAAUAUUAAUAUCAGUUUAAAGCUAUAAUUUCCUAUCUUGAUGAUUUUUAUAGUAAUAAAAUUAAUUUUAAUCUACUAUAAAUCAUACUUUUAUAUAAAUAACUGAAANNNNNNNNNNNNNNNNNNNNNNNNNNNNNNNNNNNNNNNNNNNNNNNNNNNNNNNNNNNNNNNNNNNNNNNNNNNNNNNNNNNNNNNNNNNNNNNNNNNNNNNNNNNNNNNNNNNNNNNNNNNNNNNNNNNNNNNNNNNNNNNNNNNNNNNNNNNNNNNNNNNNNNNNNNNNNNNNNNNNNNNNNNNNNNNNNNNNNNNNNNNNNNNNNNNNNNNNNNNNNNNNNNNNNNNNNNNCUAUUCACCAUAUAUUGUGGUUUUAAGUACUUUAAAUAUAUCUUUUUAUAUUUAAAAAACUAAUGAGUCAAUUUAAUGACUAAGAAAUAAAAUAAGAUAAUAAAUAUCUUGAAAAGAUGACAAAUGUCACUUCUUCUUAUAAAAAUAGAUAAUAAUUAAGAGUUUGAGAUAGAAGUAGUUUUAGAUUCAAUGCAGUACUAAAAUAGGUUAGAAUAUAUUAUUCAUUAGUGUAGACAUGAUAUUAAUGAAUGCACAAGGGAGCCAACAAAGAAUCUUAUAAAUACAACAAAGAAAAUUGAAGUUUUUUAUUAACAAUAUCUAUCAAAAUCAAGAUGAAUUAUAAAAAAUCUUUUUUAUAAAAAAAAUAAGAUCUAGAGAAGAUAGCAUUCUACUUCUUACAUUCUACAUCAAGACAACAUAAUUAAGAUAAAAAAAUUUAAGAAUAAGAUAUUCUUUCUCAAAUAGAUGGUGAAAUACAAUGUAUUUGAUAUCACAAUCUUAGAUGAGACUAAUAUUCCAAUGUUUGGUGAUUUUAGUAGAUGUAAAAAUGAAUCUUGAUGGUGUUCCAAAUAUUUUAUUUGAAAGGAGUUACAAAGGCUUCAACAACAAUCAAAUAACAAGAUGGUCUUUCUGUCCUAGUAUAAAAUACUAUUGAUGGCUAAGAAGAUCUAGCAACUAUCUUCAAAGAGAACAAAGAUUAGAUUAUGUAGCAAACAUAAUUUACUACUUUUUAGAUUUUAGGGUGGUCUUCUCGCCCUGGAAUGGGACACUAUCGAUGGCUAAGAGGACCCAUCAACUAUCUUCAAAGAGAACAAAGAUCAGAGUAUGUAGCAAAUACAAUUCGCCGCAUAUUAGAUUUUCUCAAUAUAUAAUCACCGCUCCUCGUGGAACUCGUCCCUAGAAGGAGGGGUAAUGUCACGGACAUACAUAUAAUUACCUAUAUGAAUAGAUAAAAGUAUGUAAAAGUAGGUUAAUUGUGUAAUAUCUUCUAGAAAAGCUUCUUAGAAGCUUCAUAGACGCUGCUUUGACUUUAUAGGAGUCUAUAGUUGACUUUUAGGUUAGAAACUUGGUCAACAAGUUAGCCAUGUGCCACGCAUGUUGGAAGCUUAAAGAACAAGCUAACUACGUGGUCCAUCCAUAGAAAACUUGCCUUGCAAGCAAAGGCAUGUGGCCUAGAAAGCCAACAUAUAUUGGAGGUCUUAUAGAACAUCGCCACGUGGCUUCUAGUUAGAUAGUAUAUAUAGAGGCAAGAGUGAAGCCCUCUUCACUCUUGUCAACUCCUUUCUUGCUUCUAGUCUAGUUUCAAG
This 41957-nucleotide long non-coding RNA is filed under the name Physcomitrium patens. Its description in RNAcentral is "long non-coding RNA (PPAT_LNC005555)". Lineage: Eukaryota; Viridiplantae; Streptophyta; Bryopsida; Funariales; Funariaceae. The record is from RNAcentral.